CUCACCAGUUUCCGUAGUCACAGGAUCGCCACACCAGGGAGAAGAGGUCGCCGCCGAGAUGCCUGAUGAAGGAUUGAAACACGUGUCGAAGUGGUGGUGGGGUGAAUCAGUUACCUCUCAAGAUGUCCCAGAUAGUUCCCAGGCUCAUUUGUAUUGGAGCUCCGCACUGAGAUCCUGCUAAUAAACUGACACCAGACAAGCCUCAUUAAAGAUGGAUGGAGAAUAAUUAACUCUUAAUUAUUCAGAUGACUUCAAGGCAACUUAAGGAUUCAGAGAAGAAAGUCAUUUUCACCCAGCAAAGCAGUCUCCUAUCAUUUAUCAAAUCUUACAACUUGACCACGGAUGAAUAAAAGGAAAG
Hyla sarda is the source of this 358-nucleotide long non-coding RNA. RefSeq lists it as uncharacterized. The record is from RefSeq and is a predicted model, not a curated record. The transcript is spliced from 4 exons. NCBI's taxonomy places the organism in Eukaryota, Metazoa, Chordata, Amphibia, Anura, Hylidae.